GACGAACGCUGGCGGCGUGCUUAACACAUGCAAGUCGAACGAUGAAGCCCAGCUUGCUGGGUGGAUUAGUGGCGAACGGGUGAGUAACACGUGAGUAACCUGCCCUGGACUCUGGGAUAACCCCGAGAAAUCGGAGCUAAUACCGGAUAGGACCUUGAGCGGCAUCGCUUGGGGUGGAAAGUUUUUUCGGUUUGGGAUGGACUCGCGGCCUAUCAGCUUGUUGGUGAGGUAAUGGCUCACCAAGGCGUCGACGGGUAGCCGGCCUGAGAGGGUGACCGGCCACACUGGGACUGAGACACGGCCCAGACUCCUACGGGAGGCAGCAGUGGGGAAUAUUGCACAAUGGGCGCAAGCCUGAUGCAGCAACGCCGCGUGCGGGAUGACGGCCUUCGGGUUGUAAACCGCUUUUAGUAAGGAAGAAGGGGGGCCUUCGGGUUUCUUGACGGUACUUGCAGAAAAAGGACCGGCUAACUACGUGCCAGCCGCCGCCGUAACAC
This 497-nucleotide ribosomal RNA is filed under the name uncultured bacterium. Its description in RNAcentral is "bacterial SSU rRNA". It matches the Rfam family "Bacterial small subunit ribosomal RNA", at positions 28 to 526 of the family's 1533-position model. The record is from RNAcentral.